AGUGGUGGUGGGAGCUUGAGUGAGUGCACUAAGGGGAAGGGCCUCCGCUGCGUUUCCGUCCUUCUUCUCCGCUUGUCGGUCCAAACCUUUGCCCAUGAGCUUGUGUUAGGGUUUCUCCAUAGCCGCGUUUUUACCCCAGUGCUUGCCCGACCACCUUGACCGUGUGCGAGAGAGAGACAGAGAGAUACAAAGAGAGACAGACUGUGUGUGUGCGCGUGUGAGAGAGAGGGAGAGGGAGAGGAAGGGAGGGGGAGGGGGCACGAAGGGCUUGCACUCUGGGCCAGGUUGUGGUAAACCAUGGCAGACGGAGUGGGGCUGUUCGAGGACGGUGAUUCACCUCCGCCGCGGUCGCACACUCAUUCCCAGGCGGAUUAUGGCUAUGACGAUCACCGCGAACACGAUAGAGAUAGGAAGCGUGAGCAUCAUUCUCGCGAAUCUGGCAGAGAUAGAGAGAAAAGUCGGGAGAAAGAGAGAGAUCGUCGCCAUAGAGAUGAUCGAGAUCGUGAUAGAGACAGGGGGGACAGAGUUGACCGAGGAGAUCGAGGAGACCGAGACCGCUCCGAGCGUCAUCGUAGUCAUGAUCGAGAUAGGAGAAGCCGUGAUUACGGCGAUCGAGAUCGGAGGCACAGGCAUCGGUCUCGCUCUAAUACUCUUUCAAGGUCUCCUUCACGUGAUCGGAGAAGGUCUCGCUCCAGGUCUCCUUCUCGCGACCGUAGACGGAAGACAAGUGGUUUUGACAUGGCUCCCCCCGGCGCCACCGUUGUGGCAGGUGCUGCAAUUCCAGGACAAAUCCCUGGAAUGCCUCCAGCCAUGCCAGGAGUUUUUCCAGCAAUGUUUCCUUUUGGCGGUACACAGUUUGGAGGUCUUCCUGGAAUGCCAGCUCAAGCUAUGACUCAACAGGCUACCAGGCAUGCACGUCGCGUAUAUGUCGGUGGUUUACCACCAAUGGCAAAUGAACAGACAAUUGCGACCUAUUUCAGUCAGGUGAUGGCUGCUGUUGGAGGAAAUACCGCUGGGCCAGGUGAUGCUGUUGUUAACGUGUAUAUUAAUCAAGAAAAGAAGUUUGCCUUCGUUGAAAUGCGUACUGUCGAAGAAGCCAGUAAUGCUAUGGCCUUGGAUGGCAUUAUUUUCGAGGGAGUCUCUGUCAGGGUGCGAAGACCAAGUGAUUAUAAUCCUUCCAUGGCUGCAACGCUUGGUCCAAGUCAACCUAGCCCACAUCUCAAUCUGGCCGCAGUUGGUCUAACUCCAGGAAGUGCUGCUGGAGGUGCUGAUGGACCUGAUCGUAUAUUCGUUGGAGGUUUACCUUACUAUUUGACAGAGGUUCAGAUAAAAGAGUUACUCGAGUCAUUUGGACCUCUGCGGGGCUUUGAUCUCGUCAAAGAUCGUGACACAGGGAACUCGAAAGGUUACGGAUUCUGUGUUUACCAGGAUCCUUCAGUUGUGGAUAUUGCCUGUGCAACGCUUAAUGGCAUGAAAAUGGAUGACAAGACAUUAAACGUUCGCCGAGCCACUGCAAGUGGGCAACCAAAGCCUGACCAAGCAAAUGUUUUGGCACAUGCGCAACAGCAAAUAGCUAUACAGAAGCUGGCAUUGCAGGCUAGUGGCGCCAAUGCUGUGGCCUUGGGUGGCAUGUCAAUGUUUCCCAUGAUGGCGGGGAUGGGGAAUGGCUUCGCGUUAGAAACUCCUACCAAAGUAGUCGCUUUGACUGAGGUUGUAACACCUAACCAGUUGGAAGAUGAUGAAGAGUACCAAGAAAUUAUGGAAGACAUGGGAACCGAGUGUGGGAAGUAUGGGACUUUGGUGAAUUGUGUUAUUCCGAGACCUAGAAGUGGUGAAAAUGUUCCUGGGUUAGGCAAGGUCUUCCUUGAGUAUUCAGAUAUUGCCGGUGCUUCGAAAGCGAAGGCUUCGCUGCAUGGGCGAAGAUUCGAUGAAAACUUGGUAGUUGCUGUGUACUACCCAGAAGACAAGUUCGCAGCUGGAGAUUACGGUGGUUAAUAAAGAUUGGAUGGCGAUGUAUGGCCACAUCUUAGGGCUUUCUGAUUUGAGGGGCAUUUAUACUUCAUAGUAGUGAAAACCCUCUGCAGUGCCACAAAGAGUCUUUGUUAUAGUUUAGUUUUGUCCUUGAGGUUUGUCAGCUCCUGAAACGCGUUCUCUUCGGAUGAUCUUGUAGACCAGCUGUUUCAAAUUCUAAUGAGAAAGAAAAAGCCGAAACAGACUUUCUUUUACA
RNA transcript from Physcomitrium patens, 2227 nucleotides. It is a transcript of the gene named splicing factor U2af large subunit A, with no coding region annotated. NCBI's taxonomy places the organism in Eukaryota, Viridiplantae, Streptophyta, Bryopsida, Funariales, Funariaceae. The record is from RefSeq and is a predicted model, not a curated record.